This is a long non-coding RNA of Triticum dicoccoides, 2097 nucleotides long. RefSeq lists it as uncharacterized. The transcript has 8 exons. NCBI's taxonomy places the organism in Eukaryota, Viridiplantae, Streptophyta, Magnoliopsida, Poales, Poaceae. The record is from RefSeq and is a predicted model, not a curated record.
AAAAUUGUCCCAAGCACGUCAUCCCCAACCUCUCGGCCUUAUCCUCCCACGGCGCCGCGACGCCUGCCGGACCUUGCACGGCGCCGCCCCCAUCUCGCCCGACCUUCCACCGUGCCGCCCACCCGGCCUCCCACCGUGCCGCGCCGCCCCGCCCCACCAGGCCUCCCACCAUGCCGCCCCGCACCGCCCGGCCUCCCAUCGCGCGGCGUCGCCCCGCUCGGCCUUCCUCUGUGCCGCCCGGCCUCCUACCGCGUAGCGCCGCCCCGCCCGAUCUCCCACUGCAACGCACCCUAACGCUACAGGUCUCACCCUCCCUCGGCUGCAGGUCGCGGCCUCCCGCGGAUGCAGGUCGCGGAUUCGACCUCGUCGCUGCACAUAGGGACCGUGGCCUCCCCCGCGUGUGGUCGCCUCCGUCCUGCUUCAAGCCCGUUUCCAGUCGUCCAUAGACUGAUUGAACUGACGGGCUUGAUCCCCUUCGACAAUAGAAGCUUCACCAAUGUUGCCCUUCAACAACGCAGCGAUCCGAGGGGAGAGGACAAAACUAAAUGAUUCAGUUCAUCAUUGGUAUCCUUGUGAACAGUUCUGAAGAUAGCUUUCAGAGACUAAUUACAGUGAUAUUUCUCUCAAACUUUUUCUACAAAUAGCCUGGGACUUCCACUGAUUGUGCCACUGCUUCAGCGUCCACCAUCAGUGGCACUGGCCGCCCUCUGAGCCAAAUCUUGGCGCUCCCAGCCGCUGCUCAUGAACCCCGCCUCCAUCAGCUCCACUUCACCGGAGCCGCCAGUCCGCAUGAGUAGGGGUAGCGUAUCCCCCUACAGCAGCGUAAUUCAGGUGCACCCAGCCGCUGCUCUUGAACCCCGCCUCCAUCAGCUCCACUUCACUGGAGCCGUCAGUCCGCAGGUGUAGGGGUAGCAGGUUCACCCGACGUCCGACGCCUUCUUCCAUCUCCAAAAAUCUUGUUUUUUGAGUUCAGUUCUUCAUCACAUGUUUCACUAGCUAAAAUUGCAUGGUGUUCUGAAAUUGCUUGCAGACCACUAGCUGAAAUUGCUUGACAAACAGAGCAAAGGUUGUAUCUUCGUCUACUGUUUUUCAGAUAUUCGUCAUAUGCAUGAGCACGGCUAUAUUUGCUUGUUAUGAUCUAGUAGGCACCAUUAACAUUUGAUAUUCCUUCUGCAAGGCCCAAACCCACUAUUGUGCAAGAAAAAGAAAUCAAAGCCCCAACCAUCAGCUGCUCGAAUCAUCUGCUUCUCCUGCUCCUCCUCCUCCUGGUAUACACGAACUCCAGUUCGUCGAGAGGCUCCCUGGAGCAAUGGCAUGCUCCAAGCCCGCCGAGACUGAAUCAUUCGACAUCAAUUCUCUGCACAGCGUGGCUCGACGUGCAACCUUCCGGCUCCUUCGUGUACGUCCAGACAAGAUGCUAUGGUGUACAAUUUAAUGCAUGAAGACCCGACCCAACAAGUGUUGCCAUGGCACGGCGCCUACUGGCAAAGGACCACCACCUCCCCGACGACGUGCCCAAACCCGCCGACGAGGCCCGCUGCCCCAACCCUCCUCCUUCCUCCUCGCAUCGGGAUGAGCAAGAUCCAGCUGGCGCCUAAAGCCCAUUCCACCAUUGUACCUCCCCCUUCCCCUCGCUGCACUGACCGGUGUGACACAGCGCCGCCGCCAAGGAAAAAUCAUUUUCAGGUUAUUGGUGCCGCUGGAUAACUGUCAUAGUUUGUCGCCAGCAAAGUCCUCGAACUUGGCCUACACCAGUAGUAGAACUUACUGGUUCUCCGUGACCUAAAGUUGAAAACAGACAAAAAUUCUCAAGAAUUGAGGCUUCGCCAAGGAACAAGACUGGUAACUAGCGCAAAGGAGACUAUGUCGAGAGGUGGCACUGCUAGACUUGCUGAUGUGUCGUUAUGGCAUAAAAAGAUGAAAAAAAUGGCAUCUUGUAUGAUUCCAUAAGGUGUACGUAGUAAAUCUUCCCAUGUGGAUCAGUACAACUUAUGUACGGCCUUGAGUUCACAAAUCUUAUAGUAAUCUUUGUAGUACUUUUCGUCACACUAAGUAAAGCAAGAGUAGCCCUUUUUUGUGAGCAACAAUUCAAACGAA